Long non-coding RNA from Myotis davidii, 2984 nucleotides. RefSeq lists it as uncharacterized. The transcript is spliced from 3 exons. Lineage: Eukaryota; Metazoa; Chordata; Mammalia; Chiroptera; Vespertilionidae. The record is from RefSeq and is a predicted model, not a curated record.
GCCUGUUUGGGUUUGUGGCGCUUGCUUGGCAGUAUUUAAAUGUUGAUUUUCUUGUCUUCCUCCGGAGUGCAUUUCUGUGCUUGUCCACGAGAGGUCCCCACAGGCUCCAAACUGGGUUUCAUCGGACUCGGCGCCUCAACGAGCGCGGAGUGCGGAGUGCGGAGGCCCCGCCGGAGCGCAGGGCGUGAUGACGUCACGAGGAGCCGGGCGGGUUUCUGCCCAAACUCUGUUUGCCCGCUGCUGAGUCGCCUUCCCGACCCACGAGGCUCACGUUCAACGGCCGCCCAGUGCGUCCCGCGCGAGGGAAGAAAAGCUGCGAACGAGGGAGGUGGAGCUAGGCUGUUGGGCUUAAAAUAAAACCGAACCAUGGGAUCCAGCCUUCCUUAUCAGGGCUCGGGAAUGGAUAACAGGACUUUUGAGUCAUCACUGGAAUAAACUCAUUAAAGCCUCUUCAUAACGCCGUAUCUGUAACUGGAGGUGGGCGAGAAUGGCAAAGGAAAAAAACAGUUCUAGAGUUGAGCAGAAAUGAGCACGGAUUAAGAAUCUGGAGACCCGAGUCUCUGGAGAGAGCUCUGCUAGGAGCCUGCAGCGUGGCCCUGGAGAAGUACCUUCUCUCUCUGGGCCAGGAGCGCAUCUGGAGGAAGCGGAGCUGGGUGAGCUCCCGCACGCCCUCUAGUGGCCAAACUCAGUUUUACCAUCGUUGUCAUCCUUCGACCCUCAGAGGCCUCUCUGUCGGUUGGGGAAGGAACCCUUUCUCAUGGACGUGGCAAGCAACUGCUGUUGCUCCUUGUUCAGCUCUGCGGUGGGUAAAGAGAAGGAGACAGCAGGAGGGGCAAGGGCAUACUCUCCCUCUGGUGGGCAGGGGAUUGUAGUGCAGCUCAGGGAGCUGGAACUAACACGUAUGUGUGCAUGUGUGUGUGUAUGUGUGUGUAUGUGCGGGGGGGGCAGCAGAUUCACUCUUAAUACUCCGGGAGAGAAGAGAGAAGGUUCCUUGAAAGAUGUCUCCUCUUUCUUUUAGGAAAAAUAGAUGAGGAGGAGGUGGGCUUGCCCCUCUUGCUUUUUCCUUGGAGGAGGGGACGACGGGGUUUGGACGCUGAUUCACUCUGCCUGUAGCUUGGUAUGAGAGCCAGCUUCACGAGCAUGCAACCUGUCAAGUUGCCCAUGGCCCCAUGCUUGGUUUAAUGUUGAAUAAUUCUUAGUACUUUUUAAACAAGGAGCCCUGUAUUUUCAUCUGGCGCUGGGAACCCAUAGAUUAUGUUGCAGGUCCUGCUUGUUACCAUUGGGCCUAACCCAUUAGCCCCAUCAGGGGCUGACCCCAUGCCCACUCCUGACUCCCCCACGGAGAGCCCCCGGCAGGGAGCGGACCUAUCCAGCCAGCACGAGAUCGAGUUUCCUGGAAAUCUCCCGCAGCCAUUGGAGGACUGAGUCCUCGGCCCCACCCCUCGGACUCCAUCAACCACUAGAUCUAGGGCCUGACCCACUUGGCAGAGAGAUGAGGAGUGAUCAGCUAGCUACUCCUGCAGUUAGAGAAAAGGGGCUCCCUGGGAGAGGGGGAGCAGGUCUCCCGGUUCGGAGUGGGGACUCCCUUAGGAAAGGGGUCCAGUCUCUCCCUUAGCCUAAAGAAGACUCCUUGGAGCGGACUGUCGUGCGGACUGCCGUGCGGGCUGAGAUGUCACUGGACCAGGUCGGCCACGCCCCAUCCAGCCACACCUCGCUCCCGCCCCGCCCCUAGCUCCCUUAGUCCUGUCAUCACCACCCGCGCCCCGCCUCCGGCGCUCACUGUCUGUCCCCCAUCACUUUAGCCCCGCCCCCGACUUCCCCAACUUCACCCCAUGCAAUCCCGGUCUGUCCCGCAGCCGCCUAAGUCCCUCCUCUCGCCUCCACAACCCUAAGGUCAACCGGACAGCCUUCUCCUGACCUCUCAUCACUCCGCCAGGGCCCCGCCCCCACUGUGUCCUCCAGCCCCGCAGCGUCCAGUCCUUUCCUUAGAGGCCCGCCAUUCCCAGGUCAGGCCCUUCAGCGCCAGACACCUCGUGUGCUCCCGGGGGUUGGGGGCCGGCUCAGGCCUGGACUGAGCUUUGAGUAUAGGACAGUGGUGACCAGGACCCUCCUCACUCCACCGGCUUGACGUGACUGCACCCAGUGAGCCCCGCACAGAGACCCCUUCUGGGGCUUGGGGUCCUGUGCCCUCCCUCACAUACCCCUCCCCAGGGGAUCGAGUCUGCAACCCAGGCGUAUGCCCUUGACCAGAAUCGAACCCAGGACCCUCAGUCCGCAAGCCUACGCCCUAUCUGCUGCACCAAACUGGCCAAGGCUGCAAUGCUUUUUGUAAAUACUUUUAAUAACGUCCCUGCCUGCUGUCAGGUUGUGGUUUCUCACUGCUGUUAUUCUGACUGCCUGUAAUCUACUUUUUGCUGCUUCAGAUGUAUUGCUUCUAACUUGCUGUAGGCAGGAAACCAUAGUCCCAAAGUUAUUAGAACUCUAUGUAAAGUAAGAUUUUUAAAAAUUGGUAAAAUAAAUAGGUUCUGAGUAAGUGUUCCUGUGGACAAAGUACAUGGGCCUUCGUCGGUGUUUGCUUUAGGCGACCUUUCUGUGCUCAGGUGGCCCCUGUGCACAGCUUGUCACCCUGGCUGUCAUCCCUGAUGCACUAACCUGCAGGUCCCCGAGGACGGGCACCAUGACUUGCUCAUCUUUGUGUCUGCAGUGCCUGCCACAUAGUAGGAACUCACUGUAUUUCGAAUGAAUGAGUGGACCUGUGGCGGCGUCUCUUUUGGCAGAGUGGACGCCUUGCUCUGCUUUGCUGCAGUCCUGACUGGGGGCAGCGUCCCCCCUAGGCGGGAGAGGGUCCCAGAGAGAUGAGGUAAACCUGUGUCUAGUUGGAACGCCCCUUAGUCUAAUGGGGAGGCACAGUCCCUCCCCGUGGGAUAAGCCGCCGGAGUUGCUGGCGGUGUUGAUGCUGACAUCCCUCACUCUGUAGGAGAGCU